Long non-coding RNA from Haliotis rubra (blacklip abalone), 591 nucleotides. RefSeq lists it as uncharacterized. NCBI's taxonomy places the organism in Eukaryota, Metazoa, Mollusca, Gastropoda, Lepetellida, Haliotidae. The transcript is spliced from 4 exons. The record is from RefSeq and is a predicted model, not a curated record.
AUGUAUAUUACAUCAGGUGAUCAGUCUGUCCUCGAUAUCACAACCCAGACGCACCCGACAGAGAGCAGUGUAGGGUAGAUGGGAGGUGGUGACGGAGGUGAUGUCACCGUGCCCUGUGUUAAACCUAUACAAAGUGUGUUAACUCGAGCGAAUGUCAAAGUAGAAGCUCGAGUUUCCUGUGAACAAAGAGGCCCAAGUGAGGAUUGUGCGAUUCCCGUGAAGAUUGUAUAUUUGUCAUCCACGCGGAGACACCUACCAUCAUUGAGGACAACUCGGGCAGGGAAUAUUGACAACCUGUAGGUCAUGGCCAGUUCAGACCCGGACAGGGAAGCCCUGGGUGGUUCAGGCGAGGAAGAUCCUACGGUCCAUGGCGGUUCAGAUCUACACGAGGAGGAUCCUGGAAACCACUCGGCCAUUGCCAGGCUGACUGAUCGUGGACGUUUCUCUGAAGAUCAUUCGGCCAUUGCCACGCCAAAGGAGUCAGCCUUUCGUGUCCAAUCCAGGGCGUGGUGGUUCUGCCUCCGCUAUCAUUGUUUCCAACUCGAAGUACGUGAAUAUUUCCACUGGACAGACAGUUCCAGGACGGUCGGA